GAUGAACGCUAGCGGCAGGCCUAAUACAUGCAAGUCGGACGGGAUUCAGGAGCUUGCUUCUGAUGAGAGUGGCGCACGGGUGCGUAACACGUAUGUAACCUACCUUUAUCAGGGGGAUAGCCUCUCGAAAGAGAGAUUAAGCCCGCAUAAAAUCACAGCACAGCAUUGUGUAAUGAUCAAAUAUUUAUAGGAUAAAGAUGGGCAUGCGGAACAUUAGCUAGAUGGCGGGGUAACGGCCCACCAUGGCGACGAUGUUUAGGGGAUCUGAGAGGAUGGCCCCCCACACUGGUACUGAGACACGGACCAGGCUCCUACGGGAGGCAGCAGUAAGGAAUAUUGGUCAAGGGGCGGAAGCCUGAACCAGCCAUGCCGCGUGCAGGAAGACGGCCCUACGGGUUGUAAACUGCUUUUAUACGGGAAUAAACCCAGAUACGUGUAUCUGGCUGAAUGUACUGUAAGAAUAAGGAUCGGCUAACUCCGUG
Molecule: ribosomal RNA, 482 nt
Filed under: uncultured bacterium
Lineage: Bacteria
Description: partial 16S ribosomal RNA
Rfam family: Bacterial small subunit ribosomal RNA
Source: RNAcentral